CAAGUCGAGGGGCAGCACAUAUAAGCUUGCUUAUAGGGUGGCGACCGGCGCACGGGUGCGUAACGCGUAUACAAUCUACCUUAUGCUGAGGGAUAGCCCAGAGAAAUUUGGAUUAACCCCUCAUGGUAUUAGAGGAUGGCAUCAUUUUUUAAUUAAAGGUUACGGCAUAAGAUGAGUAUGCGUCCCAUUAGCUAGUUGGUAGGGUAACGGCUUACCAAGGCUACGAUGGGUAGGGGUCCUGAGAGGGAGAUCCCCCACACUGGUACUGAGACACGGACCAGACUCCUACGGGAAGCAGCAGUGAGGAAUAUUGGACAAUGGGCGGAAGCCUGAUCCAGCCAUGCCGCGUGCAGGAAGACGGCCCUAUGGGUUGUAAACUGCUUUUAAACGGGAAGAAUAAGGCCUACGUGUAGGUUGAUGACGGUACCGUAAGAAUAAGGACCGGCUAACUCCGUGCCAGCAGCCGCGGUAAUACGGAGGGUCCGAGCGUUAUCCGGAAUUAUUGGGUUUAAAGGGUCCGUAGGCGGGCUAUUAAGUCAGGGGUGAAAGUUUGCAGCUCAACUGUAAAAUUGCCUUUGAUACUGGUAGUCUUGAGUUGUAUUGAAGUGGCUGGAAUAUGUAGUGUAGCGGUGAAAUGCAUAGAUAUUACAUAGAACACCCGAUUGCGAAGGCAGGUCACUAAGUACACACUGACGCUGAUGGACGAAAGCGUGGGGAGCGAACAGGAUUAGAUACCCUGGUAGUCCACGCCGUAAAC
Molecule: ribosomal RNA, 757 nt
Filed under: uncultured Flavobacteriaceae bacterium
Lineage: Bacteria; Pseudomonadati; Bacteroidota; Flavobacteriia; Flavobacteriales; Flavobacteriaceae
Description: bacterial SSU rRNA
Rfam family: Bacterial small subunit ribosomal RNA
Source: RNAcentral